GGACAAAGGCGGCGCGCAGCUUGUGUCGUCCGCCAUUUUGUGCUAAGCAAGGUGGCCACCACGUUCCCUGAGCGACUUCUCCGCUUCUGCCUCGACCGCCCCUUGACUCCAGCUAUGUCUCGGGAUCGGUUCCGGAGUCGCGGUGGCGGCGGUGGAGGCUUUCACCGGCGCGGAGGAGGCGGCGGCCGCGGCGGCCUCCACGACUUCCGCUCUCCGCCGCCGGGCAUGGGCCUCAACCAGAACCGCGGCCCCAUGGGCCCGGGCCCUGGCGGCCCGAAGCCGCCGCUCCCGCCUCCGCCUCCGCACCAGCAGCAGCAGCAGCCUCCGCCGCAGCAACCUCCGCCGCAGCAGCCGCCGCCGCACCAGCAGCCGCCGCCGCACCAGCCGCCCCAUCCACAGCCCCCGCCUCCGCCGCAGGAAUCCAAGCCCGUCGUCCCCCAAGGCCCCGGCUCGGCGCCGGGAGUGAGCGGCGCGCCGCCUCCGGCCGUCUCGGCCCCGCCCGCCACCCCCCCGACCACCGGCGCUCCGCCGGGCCCGGGUCCGACCCCGACGCCGCCGCCCGCCGUCCCGUCCACCGCCUCCGGACCGCCUCCCGCCUCGACGCCGAGCAGCGGAGUCUCCACCACCCCUCCACAGACCGGCGGCCCUCCGCCACCGCCCGCCGGGGCCGCCGGCCCGGGGCCCAAGCCCGGACCGGGCCCCGGCGGCCCCAAAGGCGGUAAGAUGCCCGGUGGGCCUAAGCCUGGAGGUGGCCCGGGCAUGGGCGCUCCUGGCGGCCACCCGAAGCCACCACACCGAGGUGGCGGCGAGCCCCGUGGGGGCCGGCAGCACCACGCGCCCUACCACCAGCAGCACCACCAGGGGCCCCCUCCCGGCGGGCCGGGACCGCGCACGGAGGAGAAGAUCUCCGACUCGGAGGGAUUUAAAGCCAACUUGUCUCUCUUGCGGAGGCCUGGAGAAAAAACUUACACACAGCGCUGUCGGUUGUUUGUGGGGAACCUACCCGCUGAUAUCACUGAGGAUGAGUUCAAAAGGCUGUUCGCUAAAUACGGGGAACCCGGAGAAGUGUUUAUCAACAAAGGCAAAGGGUUCGGGUUCAUUAAGCUUGAAUCUAGAGCCUUGGCUGAAAUCGCCAAAGCUGAACUUGAUGAUACUCCCAUGAGAGGUAGACAGCUUCGGGUUCGAUUUGCUACACACGCUGCAGCCCUGUCUGUUCGAAAUCUCUCUCCUUAUGUUUCCAACGAACUUUUGGAAGAGGCCUUUAGCCAGUUUGGUCCUAUUGAAAGGGCUGUUGUAAUUGUGGAUGAUCGCGGAAGAUCUACAGGGAAAGGCAUUGUUGAGUUUGCUUCCAAGCCAGCAGCAAGAAAAGCAUUUGAAAGAUGCAGUGAAGGUGUUUUCCUGCUGACAACGACUCCUCGCCCAGUCAUUGUGGAGCCACUUGAACAGUUAGAUGACGAAGAUGGUCUUCCUGAAAAGCUGGCCCAGAAGAAUCCAAUGUAUCAAAAGGAGAGAGAAACACCACCUCGUUUUGCUCAGCAUGGCACAUUUGAGUAUGAAUAUUCUCAACGAUGGAAGUCCUUGGAUGAAAUGGAAAAACAGCAAAGGGAACAAGUUGAAAAAAACAUGAAGGAUGCUAAAGACAAAUUGGAAAGUGAAAUGGAAGAUGCCUACCAUGAACACCAAGCAAAUCUUUUGCGCCAAGAUCUGAUGAGACGCCAGGAAGAAUUAAGGCGCAUGGAGGAACUUCACAGUCAAGAAAUGCAGAAACGUAAAGAAAUGCAAUUGAGGCAAGAGGAGGAACGGCGUAGGCGAGAGGAAGAGAUGAUGAUUCGCCAACGUGAGAUGGAAGAACAAAUGAGACGCCAACGAGAAGAAAGUUACAGCAGGAUGGGCUACAUGGAUCCAAGAGAAAGAGACAUGAGAAUGGGUGGUGGUGGAACAAUGAACAUGGGAGAUCCCUAUGGUUCAGGAGGCCAGAAAUUUCCACCACUAGGUGGUGGUGGUGGCAUAGGUUAUGAAGCUAAUCCUGGAGUUCCACCAGCAACCAUGAGUGGUUCCAUGAUGGGAAGUGACAUGGUAAGAAUGAUUGAUGUUGGCUGAUUUUGGAGUCUUAUUUACUUGAGGUGGAAUUAGAUGUUCUCAAGGCAUCACACAACAUGGGUCAGCUAAAAAGGAAAGCCACAAUUGAAUUAGACUGACAGACUCUAGGUUCCAUCAGUUUAUUUACCAGUUCCUGCUCAACAGCUAUCAGAGCCAGGCUACUAAGUUUCUCUUGUCCCAUGGUACGAAAUAAGUAUGUUUUAAGAUGAGACAGCGUGGAAAAUGACUUCUCAUUAUUCGCUGAAGUAAUUGGCCAAGAUAAAGCAAUAUGCAACAGCUUCGUGAUACAAGGAAUAUUAUUGUGGAGACCAUGCUGAAUAAACAAACAGCCCAGGUCAAUGAAGCUUAAGGACCUAUUCUCUGUAAUGAAGUUGAAACUUGCAUACUGCCGGUAAAAUCGGAGCUCGGGAAUGAUGUCUGCAUCAAGCUUAUAGAACUCCUGGAUGUGUUUGGCUGUUGAUUCAUUUAAUGGCUCAUUCCAUUUAAGUAACAGCUCUGAAAUUUGUUUCAUUUUACAAUAGUCAAACUCUGAAAAAUAUAACUUUAAAUUUUUUAAUACAGUGUCCAGACCUUGGUAGUAAAUAUUAAUUUUAUAUUGUUCAUCUGCUGAAGUAGGAAAAAACAUAUGCUCUGAAUUGCUGGGAUCUACUGUUUUUUGAAUUUUUCUUCUUUUUUGAAAAGAGGGUUUCUCAACAUCAAAACCCUUGUUGGUUAUCUUUUUACAUAUUUCAUCUGCUCCAUCCCAGAUAGUUUUAAAAUAUGUAUCAUUUCUUUCAGAAGAUAAACAUUCCAAAAUUGCUUCUAUUUUUGAAAACAAAGAAAAGAUGUCAACAGUUUCACUUUGAAACUCUCUAGAAAGAAUCCCUGUGAUACUGAGUACUCGAUAAAGAAAUUUCAAACAAAAUAUAAAUUCAAACUUGGUAACCAUCGACAACAAGUCGUCCAGCUCAGCAGCCACUGCUGUGCCUGCGCAACGGCGCGACACAGAUGCCAGCACCUCGAUGACCUCCGGAAGGCAGUCCGUCACAGCCAGCAGCAAAUGGUCGUGGGCUGGCCAACACGACUGUGACGUGUGUUUCUUACAAGUUUUAUUCAGACUUAGCUUACACAUGGUUUGCAAACUUGCCAACAUUUCUUCAGACACACGAACAGUGUUGAACAAAGAGCCGAGAGUGUUUAGUGCACCUCGGAGCUCCUUCACCUCCUUACAGAAGCUCAUCACCGCUAACUCAAAAAAAUGUGCGUGACAAUGCACAUAGAGAACUCUUGGCUCUUCCUUCUUGAAUUCUGUUACAACUUCAUUCAAUUUUACCCUAAAAUUUGUGGCACUAUCAUAGGCUUGGCCACAUAUUUUAUUAAAAUCAAUUCCAACCUGCUGCAGGUAAGCUUUGAUCUGCCCAUGCACAUGGACCCCAGUCACUUCCUCGGCAGUCACAAACCCCAGGAACCUUUCCUUAACCAAGACAGCACUUGGUGUCUUUUGUGGGUACCUCACACACACGGAAAGCUGUCUCUCGGCGGCACUACCAGCUAUCUCCUCACAGAUUAUUGAAAAGGCUGAGGAGGCGUUGAUCUCACUCACGAUGUCUUGCAACAUCUCACCCUUUAUCAUUUCAAUAAUCUCCUCCUGGACAAGUGUACUACUAUAGAAGUCCACGUGUGAACUCAUAAGCUGAAAUACUUCUCCUUUAUCUCUUGCUCUAAGUUCUAGUAAUUCCAAAAAAUUGCCUUUAUUAAUGGAUGAAAUAGACUGGUCAUUUCCUUUUAACAGCAAGCACUGUUUUCCAAGAAAUAAAAUGUUCUCAAUGACGAGCUUUAGGUACUUUUUAUUUCCUUCAAUCUGUUUUGAAUAAACAGAUGAAUUAUCACGUGGAACAGCAUCGAGAAACUGGUACUGCCUCCAAAAUUGCAAUGACUUUAAGUGCACUUCACUUUCUUCAUGCUUUUUGAAAAUUUCCAGCAUUUUCUCCCAGUCAGCAGUUCCUUGGGUUGCAAAAACUUCUCUCCGACAGCUAAAUUUUUUCUGGAAGAA
RNA transcript from Mus pahari (shrew mouse), 4132 nucleotides. It is a transcript of the gene named splicing factor proline and glutamine rich, with no coding region annotated. The record is from RefSeq and is a predicted model, not a curated record. Lineage: Eukaryota; Metazoa; Chordata; Mammalia; Rodentia; Muridae. The transcript is spliced from 12 exons.